This 492-nucleotide ribosomal RNA is filed under the name uncultured soil bacterium. RNAcentral's name for it is "bacterial SSU rRNA". It matches the Rfam family "Bacterial small subunit ribosomal RNA", at positions 26 to 517 of the family's 1533-position model. The record is from RNAcentral.
AGAUUGAACGCUGGCGGCAGGCCUAACACAUGCAAGUCGAGCGGUAGAGAGGUGCUUGCACCUCUUGAGAGCGGCGGACGGGUGAGUAAUGCCUAGGAAUCUGCCUAGUGGUGGGGGAUAACGUUCGGAAACGGACGCUAAUACCGCAUACGUCCUACGGGAGAAAGCGGGGGACCUUCGGGCCUCGCGCCAUUAGAUGAGCCUAGGUCGGAUUAGCUAGUUGGUGAGGUAAUGGCUCACCAAGGCGACGAUCCGUAACUGGUCUGAGGGGAUGAUCAGUCACACUGGAACUGAGACACGGUCCAGACUCCUACGGGAGGCAGCAGUGGGGAAUAUUGGACAAUGGGCGAAAGCCUGAUCCAGCCAUGCCGCGUGUGUGAAGAAGGUCUUCGGAUUGUAAAGCACUUUAAGUUGGAGAAGGGUUGUAACUUAAUACGUUGCAACUUUGACGUUACCGACAGAAUAAGCACGGCUAACUCGUGCCAGCAGCCG